Molecule: unclassified non-coding RNA, 324 nt
Filed under: soil metagenome
Description: partial contains 5.8S ribosomal RNA, internal transcribed spacer 2, and large subunit ribosomal RNA
Rfam family: 5.8S ribosomal RNA (bases 1-120)
Source: RNAcentral
GAUGAAGAACGAAGCGAAAUGCGAUAAGUAGUGUGAAUUGCAGAAUUCAGUGAAUCAUCGAAUCUUUGAACGCACAUUGCGCCCCUUGGUAUUCCAUGGGGCAUGCCUGUUCGAGCGUCAUUUGUACCUUCAAGCUUUGCUUGGUGUUGGGUGUUUGUCCUGAGGGACUCGCCUUAAAGUAAUUGGCAGCCAGUGUUUUGGUUUUGAAGCGCAGCACAAGUCGCGAUUCAAAGCUAUACGCCAGCUUCCACAAGCCUUUUUCACUUUUGACCUCGGAUCAGGGAGGGAUACCCGCUGAACUUAAGCAUAUCAAUAAGCGGAGGA